RNAcentral lists this transfer RNA (72 nucleotides) under Camelus bactrianus (Bactrian camel). It matches the Rfam family "tRNA". Rfam says of the family: Transfer RNA (tRNA) molecules are approximately 80 nucleotides in length. Their secondary structure includes four short double-helical elements and three loops (D, anti-codon, and T loops). The record is from Rfam by way of RNAcentral. Lineage: Eukaryota; Metazoa; Chordata; Mammalia; Artiodactyla; Camelidae. RNAcentral also lists the same sequence under 2 other names.
GAGGGUAUAGCUCAGUGGUAGAGCGCGUGCUUAGCACAUGGGAGGUCCUGGGUUCAAUUCCUGGCACCUCUG